RNAcentral lists this long non-coding RNA (217 nucleotides) under Elaeis guineensis (African oil palm). RNAcentral's name for it is "long non-coding RNA (EGUI_LNC041554)". The record is from RNAcentral. Lineage: Eukaryota; Viridiplantae; Streptophyta; Magnoliopsida; Arecales; Arecaceae.
UAUCCCUUCGAGAGUGCUAGCUUACAUAGAGAUUAAUUUGAUGAUCGAUCUUGAUCCUUCUUCAACUCUCUCAGACUCCUCUGAGAAUCAGAAAGACACUAAAGAGGAUGUAAAGUGGAAGAAGAAAAGCUAAGAGAAGACUCUCCACUAUUGAUUUUCUCUCUUUUCUUAUAAUCCUAGAGUAGAAACCCUAAGGGAUCCACCCUAGUACCUCACG